Apis mellifera (honey bee) is the source of this 577-nucleotide long non-coding RNA. RefSeq lists it as uncharacterized. NCBI's taxonomy places the organism in Eukaryota, Metazoa, Arthropoda, Insecta, Hymenoptera, Apidae. The record is from RefSeq and is a predicted model, not a curated record. The transcript has 3 exons.
UUUAUUUGCUUAAUCAUAUGAUUAUGACAAUAUAAGUUUGCGAUGAACAUGUCAUUUUCGUGAUAUUAUAUUUAUAUAAAUUUGUUAUAUUACAUUUAAUUAAAAAAUCUUUUAAGUAAUUUUAAUAAGGAAUAGAAAAUAAAAAUUGAUUAUUUAAUAAGAAUAAAAACUUUAUUUGUGCAAAUAACCUUACAUACAGAAAACAUCACAAACACUAUGAAUAUAAAGAAAACUAAGUAAAUGAAAGAUUUCGUAUAAAUUAUACAUUUAUAAAACUUUAAUACAAGAAAUUUGUUAAGUAAUAAGAAUUUCUUAACAAGAAAUUUUUAUAUUAAAAUUCGGUUUGAUGUUAAAGGUUAAUUAAAAUAUAAAAUAAAUAUUUUUCGUGUGUUAAAAUUAUACAAAAUAAUAAUCAAUAAAAAAAAUGUUCAAAUUUUUGAUAACCUUAGGCAUUGGAAUUUAUGCUGGUAUAUAUAUAAGUCAGAACUAUGAGAUACCACGUGUAGAUGAUCCUAGUAAAAUAAUAGAACGAAUAAAAGAAUUUGCAGAUGAAUAUAAAAAAAAAUAACAAUUUAUU